RNAcentral lists this transfer RNA (88 nucleotides) under Rhizoctonia solani. RNAcentral describes it as "tRNA-Glu". It matches the Rfam family "tRNA". Rfam says of the family: Transfer RNA (tRNA) molecules are approximately 80 nucleotides in length. Their secondary structure includes four short double-helical elements and three loops (D, anti-codon, and T loops). Lineage: Eukaryota; Fungi; Basidiomycota; Agaricomycetes; Cantharellales; Ceratobasidiaceae. The record is from RNAcentral.
UCCGGUAUGGUGUAACGGCUAACAUUGUCGCCUUUCAACUGUAUAACGUGACGCGCGACGGCUCAGGGUUCGAUUCCCUGUACCGGAG